CCUACGGGUGGCAGCAGUGGGGAAUAUUGCACAAUGGGGGCAACCCUGAUGCAGCGACGCCGCGUGAGUGAAGAAGUAUUUCGGUAUGUAAAGCUCUAUCAGCAGGGAAGAAAUAGCGACCUUUGGGUCGCCAGACGGUACCUGACUAAGAAGCCCCGGCUAACUACGUGCCAGCAGCCGCGGUAAGACGUAGGGGGCAAGCGGUAUUCGGAUUUCCUGGGUGUAAAGGGAGCGUCGACGGCAGCACAAGUCUGAAGUGAAAUGCCGGGGCUUAACCCCGGAACUGCUUUUGAAACUGUGCAGCUAGAGGGCAGGAGAGGUAAGUGGAAUUCCUAGUGUAGCGGUGAAAUGCGUAGAUAUUAGGAGGAACACCAGUGGCGAAGGCGGCUUACUGGACUGUAACUGACGUUGAGGCUCGAAAGCGUGGGGAGCAAACAGGAUUAGAUACCCGAGUAGUC
This 458-nucleotide ribosomal RNA is filed under the name uncultured bacterium. RNAcentral describes it as "partial 16S ribosomal RNA". It matches the Rfam family "Bacterial small subunit ribosomal RNA", at positions 338 to 795 of the family's 1533-position model. The record is from RNAcentral.